AAAGGAAAAGAAGGGAGAUAGGUGAUUUCAGAAACUUCUUUGCUCAUUCUGGUAAUUGGCCCAUAUAUGCCCACUCUGCUUUCUUGGAACCUCAUCAAGUUGUUCCUGCAGUUCUGGAAGCCUGGUGCUCUAUAUCUCCAUCAUCAAGUAUGAAAAAUGAAAUUAUAAAUUCAAAGACUAACAGUUUCUUUGUCAAGUCAUGGGAAGGUGAUUGGUUGUUUUUCCAAGGAGGCCUGAUGGGGAUUAUCAAGAUAUUGCAGAACCACUCCCAGAGUCUAAUCAGACUCCUUAUAUGAUUCCCUCUGAUGAGAAAGUUCACAUGAAUCAUCUCUCCACAUUUGAAUAUUUACAGAAUCACAUGUGAAUGGAAACAUCUCCUCCACAGUUUCUAUGUCUUCAAUGAAAUAGAAGUAAAGUGAAUGUCAAUUCAAGUACCAAUAUUGUGGUGAACACAUUUUUAUUUAGUCAUACUGCAUUUCUUUUAAAUCCUUAGUGGUUUAUAGUUAAUCACAUAAAUGAUAUGGGUGUUAUGGUUUUUUAAUUAAAAUAUAUACACAGUUGCAGUCAGUGAUUGAGAAAGAUUGAGAAAGAAAUUAUGAAAUGAAAUGGACUGUUCUUGUGGUAUACACUUAAACAGGGCAAACAAGUUUAGCUCUCCAUAAAGGAACUGCAUUUAUAAAUUUCAGCAUUAAAUUCACCACUGCUUUGCUGACUAAUAAAAUGGAGAAUGUGUGCUUUUAUUGGUUUAUA
RNAcentral lists this long non-coding RNA (750 nucleotides) under Monodelphis domestica (gray short-tailed opossum). Its description in RNAcentral is "lncRNA (ENSMODG00000035100.2)". The record is from RNAcentral. Lineage: Eukaryota; Metazoa; Chordata; Mammalia; Didelphimorphia; Didelphidae.